AAAAGAUUUAUUCUCAAUCUUCUCCAUCUCUUCCGAAGAGAUGAGAUCUCUUCUCUAUUUUCUCCUUCUUCUUCUAUCAUGUAAAAGUUGUUUUUCUCGCAAAUACAAGAGUAGUGUAACGUUCAAGGGAUUCAACAACAGCAGAAGAAAAAGUAUCAACCGAUUUACCAGCAAUAAGGUAUUUGUAGUGUUAAUGCAAAGACUAUUUGAUCAGUUCAAGCUGGAAAAGAUUCAGGUGUUCUUCUUGCUACUACUAAGACUAACAAAAAGAAUAACCCUCCAACUUUGGUGCACAAAACUGUCAUGAAAAAGGAAUUCAGUAGAAUGGCUAAGGUUGUUGCUAACCAGCCACUUUGACAGCACUGGUCGUGUGUUCCGCAAGGGCGUGCAGUGCGAUGUUGGGGUACAUCCUAUUAUAGGACCUCAG
This is a long non-coding RNA of Papaver somniferum (opium poppy), 427 nucleotides long. RefSeq lists it as uncharacterized. The record is from RefSeq and is a predicted model, not a curated record. The transcript is spliced from 4 exons. NCBI's taxonomy places the organism in Eukaryota, Viridiplantae, Streptophyta, Magnoliopsida, Ranunculales, Papaveraceae.